RNAcentral lists this long non-coding RNA (469 nucleotides) under Ananas comosus (pineapple). RNAcentral's name for it is "long non-coding RNA (ACOM_LNC014462)". The record is from RNAcentral. Lineage: Eukaryota; Viridiplantae; Streptophyta; Magnoliopsida; Poales; Bromeliaceae.
AUAUUAGAGUUUGAGAAGUGGUGAGCUCAAAUCUCCUAAAUUUAUAUAUUGAAAUACUUCUUGAGACCGACCGUCCCUAGAGCAAGUAGCAAAAGGCUUGGUGGUUGGUACUCUAAAAGCUUAAGCUGUUACUCUAUUAGAGAAUGGUGUUUAAAUAUUUUUAUAUUUAACACACCUCCUCACGUCUGGGCUCGAGGCUUUUUAAUCGGCCCAUGACGUGGGCUUGAAUUAAAUGGGAGGAAAUUAAUAUGCUAGGAGCCUGGCGUGACUCGAACUCAGGACCUCAUGCUCUGAUACCAUGUGAAACAACCGUUGUACUCUAAAAGCUUAAGCUGAUAGAGAACGGUGUUUAAAAAUUUUUAUGUUUAACAGAAUUCUAGUUGAUUAACAUUUCUAGCUAAGUUUAUUUUUAAAUAAAAUAAACGAAACAGAUAGCGUGCCACUUAUCUCUCAAAAAAAAAAAAAAAAA